This 277-nucleotide long non-coding RNA is filed under the name Manihot esculenta (cassava). RNAcentral's name for it is "long non-coding RNA (MESC_LNC009470)". The record is from RNAcentral. Lineage: Eukaryota; Viridiplantae; Streptophyta; Magnoliopsida; Malpighiales; Euphorbiaceae.
UCAGGCGCCUCUCACACUCGAGUUGAAUUCUGUCUUCAACGAGUCUAGCAUCCUUGAGCAGGGCUGAGCAUCUGUGCUCCAAAGUCUUGACCUCAUGACGGAGUGCUUAAUUGUGAAGUUCAGACUCCUCUACCGCUGAGGCCAGAUCUCUGAUACGGUCAGAACUCUUACUCAGCUCCUGCUCGAGAACCUCAACCCGAGCUAGUGCUCCCUCCAUCUGAAUCUUCACCUUGGCAAGAUGAGCCUGAGCUCCGUCGAAAUCAGCCUUCAGGGCCUC